Molecule: non-coding RNA, 1363 nt
Organism: Lactuca sativa (garden lettuce)
Lineage: Eukaryota; Viridiplantae; Streptophyta; Magnoliopsida; Asterales; Asteraceae
Source: RefSeq, a predicted model, not a curated record
UUCUCUCCUUAUCCCCCGAGCAUUUCGGUCCCUCGUGAUUCGACUUCUCUUUCUGUAGCUUAGUAUAGUAAGGUGAGCGCUGAAGCGCUGCACGAAUCUUUCUUAGAAAGAUUCAGCGACGAAGUUCUGCCCCUGCAGAGCCCGACUCCUAGCUAAAACCCCCUUGUUUCGUCGAAGGAAAAUAGAAUCGUUAGAAGCAAGCGCUGCCCGAUUUUGGAAUCAUCACCUUAACAAGUAGUGGCGCAUGAGCAUAGGUGUGAUGUUUUGGACGAGGGAUUACAUAUAUAGACCUGUAGAUAUGAAAUAAUGUAGUAAGGCUUAUAUUGUACUGUUUAUGCUUUUGAUCUGUACGAACAUGACAUCCCGAGUCUUUUAAUGAAAUACAUUUCUAUGGAAAUGCUUUUGAUAAAUCUUUAUCAUAUUUUUGUUUUGGGACAAAUUCCGCAACACUUUCAUUUAAAAUGUAACUCUGAUUUUUAAACAAAGCAUAAACAAACCGGUCUUUUGUGGCCGUGAUUUUGGGGAUGUGACAAAUACCGCCUAUGAUAUUACAAGAAAGUUAGAUGCUACAAAUGUUGGUACACAGGUUCCAUCUACUGCCUCACAAAAUGUUAGUGAGAAUGGAGUUGGUUCAUACAAUGUUCAUACUUCUGCAUCUACACAAUAAAUGGUGGAUGGUUCUGGUAUAUCUUCAUGGCAUUUACAUACACAAUAAAUGGUGGAUGGUUCUGGUAUAUCUUCAUGGCAUUUACAUUCUUUAUUAUUUUUUAAUUUUGGGUCUGACUUUUGAGAUUAAUGCAACAUUAUCUCCUGAAGAAGAGUGAUUGUGGAACAUGGUAAAAGUUAAUUCACUAGAUUAUAAUGCUUGGAUUGUACUAAUAGAGGAGACAUAGAAAACAUCAGAGGCCAGUGUGUUGAAGAUCAGGAAAGUUUAUGAUGCAUUUUUGGUUGAACUUCCUUUGUGUUAUGGUUACUGGAAUAAGUAUGCUUGAAGAAAGAUUGGGGUCUAUCAGAAUGGAAUCAUUAAUUCCAAUUAUGUUGGAAUGGAAUCAUUAAUUCCAACAAAAUGCAUACAGUAAUUGAAUUUUGAAUUUCAAUUCUAUCGGAAUGGAAUCAUUAAUUCCAAUUCUGUUGGAAUGGAAUAUGGAUAUUUGCUAAUGCAUUAUUGGAUUCUAAACUACAAUUGGAUUUGUUUUCAUAGAUGUUGAUGCUUGAAGAACGAACCACAAAAUUGAAGUGAUUCUUAGCAACAUUAUUCUUUUAGAAUGUAUUAGUGUCUUUGUUAGAUUUGGAUGUUUUUUUUUUCCGAUUUGAAAGUUUUUUCUUAGCAAUUGUUGCCCGUAUUCUAUAAGAAUUAAUACAA